Molecule: ribosomal RNA, 495 nt
Filed under: uncultured Desulfobulbus sp.
Lineage: Bacteria; Pseudomonadati; Thermodesulfobacteriota; Desulfobulbia; Desulfobulbales; Desulfobulbaceae
Description: bacterial SSU rRNA
Rfam family: Bacterial small subunit ribosomal RNA
Source: RNAcentral
CAGAAACUACAAAGGAAUUGACGGGGGCCCGCGACAAGCGGUGGAGUAUGUGGUUAAUUCGAUGCAACGCGAAGAACCUUACCUGGUCUUGACAUCCCGGAGACCCUUAGGAAACUAGGGGGUGCUUCCAUCUGGAAGAAUCUGGAGACAGGUGCUGCAUGGCUGUCGUCAGCUCGUGUCGUGAGAUGUUGGGUUAAGUCCCGCAACGAGCGCAACCCUUGCCUUUAGUUGCCGGCAGUUCGGCUGGGCACUCUAAAGGGACUGCCGGUGUUAAACCGGAGGAAGGUGGGGAUGACGUCAAGUCCUCAUGGCCUUUAUGACCAGGGCUACACACGUACUACAAUGGCCGAUACAAAGGGCAGCGACACUGCGAGGUGAAGCCAAUCCCGUAAAAUCGGUCUCAGUCCGGAUUGGAGUCUGCAACUCGACUCCAUGAAGUUGGAAUCGCUAGUAAUCGUGGAUCAGCAUGCCACGGUGAAUACGUUCCCGGGCCUU